AUUGAACGCUGGCGGCAGGCCUAACACAUGCAAGUCGAACGGUAACAGGAAACAGCUUGCUGUUUCGCUGACGAGUGGCGGACGGGUGAGUAAUGUCUGGGAAACUGCCUGAUGGAGGGGGAUAACUACUGGAAACGAUAGCUAAUACCGCAUAACGUCGCAAGACCAAAGAGGGGGACCCUCGGGCCUCUUGCCAUCGGAUGUGCCCAGAUGGGAUUAGCUUGUUGGUGGGGUAACGGCUCACCAAGGCGACGAUCCCUAGCUGGUCUGAGAGGAUGACCAGCCACACUGGAACUGAGACACGGUCCAGACUCCUACGGGAGGCAGCAGUGGGGAAUAUUGCACAAUGGGCGCAAGCCUGAUGCAGCCAUGCCGCGUGUAUGAAGAAGGCCUUCGGGUUGUAAAGUACUUUCAGCGGGGAGGAAGGGAGUAAAGUUAAUACCUUUGCUCAUUGACGUUACCCGCAGAAGAAGCACCGGCUAACUCCGUG
Molecule: ribosomal RNA, 490 nt
Filed under: uncultured bacterium
Lineage: Bacteria
Description: partial 16S ribosomal RNA
Rfam family: Bacterial small subunit ribosomal RNA
Source: RNAcentral